Molecule: ribosomal RNA, 366 nt
Filed under: uncultured bacterium
Lineage: Bacteria
Description: bacterial SSU rRNA
Rfam family: Bacterial small subunit ribosomal RNA
Source: RNAcentral
AAGGGGGCUAGCGUUGCUCGGAAUGACUGGGCGUAAAGGGCGCGUAGGCGGCACAACUCGUCAGGCGUGAAAUUCCCGGGCUUAACCUGGGGACUGCGUUUGAUACGGUUGAGCUAGAGGAUGGAAGAGGCUCGUGGAAUUCCCAGUGUAGAGGUGAAAUUCGUAGAUAUUGGGAAGAACACCGGUGGCGAAGGCGGCGAGCUGGUCCAUUACUGACGCUGAGGCGCGAAAGCGUGGGGAGCAAACAGGAUUAGAUACCCUGGUAGUCCACGCUGUAAACGAUGUGCGCUGGAUGUUGGGUAACUUAGUUACUCAGUGUCGUAGCUAACGCGAUAAGCGCACCGCCUGGGGAGUACGGCCGCAAGG